UGUAUAGAGUGGCGCACGGGUGAGUAACACGUAGGUUAUCUACCUCCGAGUGGGGAAUAACAGUCGGAAACGACUGCUAAUACCGCAUAAUACCGAAAGGUCAAAGCUUUAGUGCUUGGAGAGGAGCCUGCGGCAGAUUAGCUAGUUGGUAAGGUAAUGGCUUACCAAGGCGACGAUCUGUAUCCGGUCUAAGAGGACGGUCGGACACACUGACACUGAAUAACGGGUCAG
RNAcentral lists this ribosomal RNA (231 nucleotides) under uncultured bacterium. RNAcentral describes it as "partial 16S ribosomal RNA". It matches the Rfam family "Bacterial small subunit ribosomal RNA", at positions 87 to 334 of the family's 1533-position model. The record is from RNAcentral.